GACGAACGCUGGCGGCGUGCUUAACACAUGCAAGUCGAGCGAGAGCCGGCUGGGGGGUAACCCGUCGCCGGGACGAGCGGCGAACGGGUGCGUAACACGUGGGCAACCUCGCCCCUCGACUCUGGGAGUAACCCCGGGAAACCCGGGAGCUAAUACCGGAUACUCUCGGCCAACCACAUGGUCGGCCGAGGAAAGAUCUGUCGGUCGGGGAGUGGCCCGCGGCCUAUCAGCUUGUUGGUGGGGUAACGGCCUACCAAGGCGACGACGGGUAGCUGGUCUGAGAGGACGACCAGCCACACUGGAACU
RNAcentral lists this ribosomal RNA (306 nucleotides) under uncultured bacterium. Its description in RNAcentral is "bacterial SSU rRNA". It matches the Rfam family "Bacterial small subunit ribosomal RNA", at positions 28 to 320 of the family's 1533-position model. The record is from RNAcentral.